This 329-nucleotide unclassified non-coding RNA is filed under the name soil metagenome. RNAcentral describes it as "partial contains 5.8S ribosomal RNA, internal transcribed spacer 2, and large subunit ribosomal RNA". The stretch from base 1 to 120 matches the Rfam family "5.8S ribosomal RNA", at positions 35 to 154 of the family's 154-position model. The record is from RNAcentral.
GAUGAAGAACGCAGCGAAAUGCGAUAAGUAAUGUGAAUUGCAGAAUUCAGUGAAUCAUCGAAUCUUUGAACGCACAUUGCGCCCCUUGGCAUUCCGAGGGGCAUGCCUGUUCGAGCGUCAUUAUAACCCCUCAAGCUCAGCUUGGUGUUGGGGCCUGCUGCACUGGCAGCCCUUAAAAUCAGUGGCGGCGCCAUCUGGCUCUAAGCGUAGUAAUUCUUCUCGCUAUGGAGUCCUGGUGGAUGCUUGCCAUCAACCCCCAAUUUUUCUAUGGUUGACCUCGGAUCAGGUAGGGAUACCCGCUGAACUUAAGCAUAUCAAUAAGCGGAGGA